Molecule: long non-coding RNA, 2796 nt
Organism: Equus caballus (horse)
Lineage: Eukaryota; Metazoa; Chordata; Mammalia; Perissodactyla; Equidae
Source: Ensembl
UAGCUGAAUGACCUUUGGGCUCAGUGUCCUCAAUUAUUAAGUAAUAAUAGAUUCUUUCUCCUGGAAUUUUAAUGGCACUUAAACCAAACAAAGCAGGUAAAGCACUUAGCCCACAAGAAGCAAGUGGACAAUCAAUGUUAGUCAUCAUAAGACUAAAAAUUAACUUAAGCAUCAAGGUAUGCAAACUAUGGAAUAUAGGCAGUAGGCACCCACUCACUUAAGAACUAUUGAUAUUGCACUUACUAUGUGCCAGGCACAGAUCAACACACUUCAUUUUUUUAAAAUCCUUUUAUUAGUUCUCCCAGCAACUUCAGGAGACAGGUACUAUUACUUUGCCCUACUUUAAAUAUGAGGAAGCAGAGGCACACAAUUACCAAGCUGCACAUCCGAGAUUCAAUCUCAGGUUCCCUUGACGAUGCUCUUCCAGUGCUGUCCAAUGGAACUUUCCGCAAUAAUGGAACUCCUCUGUCUGUGCUGUUGACACUAGCUACUGGGCACGCAGGGCAACUGAGUCCUUGAAAUGUGACUGGAUUUCCAAGCAGAAUGUUCAUAUCUUUUUCUGUACGUAGACUGACUCAGCCUUGCCACAAUUUUGUGGGCGAAGUGGUUUCAGCACCUCCGUCAUUGUCCAAGACGUUUCAAGAAAGCCAAAAGAAGUUGAGAAGCUCAUUGUCAUAAUCUCUGUUGAUCAGGAAAUGUAGAAAUCAAAGAGGAUUACGUGAGUUCAGGAUUUUCCUCCAUAUUCAUGUCCCCUGGAUUCAACAUUGUAAUAAUAAUGAAGACUGAACAAAUUUGACUUGAAAAUUUUGGGGGUCUUUCUAACAAAACAGAAAUAGGUAAUGGAACAUCUCAAGCUCGGCUCAGAAUGUAACAUUUUUCACAAUCCGCUGUCUGAAUUACUCAAACUUUGAUAUCUAAUCUUGAUAUCUCAUAAGGUCAGUCUUCUCGCCUUAUUCAUCUGCAUGAUUAUCUUGGUUAUCUUGGGUCUUUCUCAUCUUCGCAUAAAUUUUAGAAUUAUCCUAUCAGGUUACAUACACAAAAAUGCAAGCACACAAAAACGUGAUGGAAUUUUUAUUGGGAUGACACUGAAUCUAAAUCAAUUAGAGAAGAAUUGAAAUAUUUAAUAGAGUUUUAAUAGAGUAUUUAAAUAGAGUAGAAUAUUUAAUAGAGUUCUAUUUAAAUUUAGAAGCAUGGAGGAGAGGUCCCCACAGCUGGGACUUAGACCUCUGAAGAGGAAAUGCGGGUGGGAGGAAGGGGUCACACAAUGAAGCUGGUUUGGUAAAUGUAGAAAAAACUGCAAACUGUGUGCAGCUGCCGUGUCACGAAGGAAUUGCUGCUGCCAAGGUGAGGGAGUAUUGCUGGCGUGACGCUCACACGAGCUUCGAGCAAACAAGAAGCCCGCAGGAACCCACAAGAAGGAGCAAGUCCCUUCAGCUUCCUCCAGCCUUGCAAGUCUCCCUCUGGACUCUCUGCUGGUAGAGCCUAACAGGGCAAGCAAAAGGUGGCUUGCAGAGUCCAGGUCCCAGCAUCACUAAGCGAAUGAUAGACGGUGGUUUGGAAGCCAACUGGCCCACUCUCUUAUUUGUGUCUCCAUUCUCCCCUUCGUUCCUACUUUCCUCAAACCCAAUCUUAUCUGGUCUCUGGGAGAAAUCUCAAGCCAGCAAACAUGCCUCUGAGAAACUUCCAGUACUUCCACAGGUCAGCAGUUUCUUAGAUCCUUGCUUCAAUUUCAUGGGAGAGGGAAGAGAAAUUGGCCUCAACGCAUGAGAGAGAAAAGGAGAAGAGAAUCCACAAAGAACAGUCUACUUUAAAGAUUUAACUCUACCACGUUUCUACCUACUUUUGACAAAGACACCAGUAGAGAGAACUGUUUUCUACUAAAAGAGAAACGGCAAGCGCAGUAAGUGGGAACUGGCACCGUCAGUGUUGUGAAGCAGCAGGAAUUGGUGGGACCGUGGAGAACACAUGCCUGUCUAAAGAGGGCAGCAGCUGCCCAGCCAGCCAUAGACUGCAAUGUGGUAAUGUGAGUCCAGUGUUCCCAGAUCUCCUAAUUUUUUGAGAGAUGCCAGAAAUCUGGAUUUUUAUGUGAAAGCUUCCAAUUUCAAGAUGUUGGCUCAAAAAUGUUUUAAACAUUGUACAAGCCAAAUGAAACAUUGCAAUGGGCCAAAUCUAGCCUGUGGGCCAUGGUUUGGGACGUAUGCAGUGCAGCAUGCAGACGAAAGGGGAUCUGCGGCAAUAUAUGGACCUCAAGUAUCACGUCACGUGGCCUAUGGGAAAGAACAGCCUAGUUCAACAUUAUGCGAUAACCUGAAUUUUAAUGCAAUGUUGGUUUCUUGUGUUAGGCUUCUUUUUGUUUCCUUUUCUUUCUUUCUUUUUUUGUUAUCAUUCUUGAUGACGUUAACACAAAGUCAGCCUAACCUAGUGCUGUCAGCGUUAGCAUGAUCACGCACGUCAAUGUGGAGUUAAUUUAAAACGAACACUUUGGGAGAAAGAAACUGUAUAAAUCAAAUAUAUAAUCACUAUUCUGGGGUUUGGAAUUUGCUUCAAGAAAGUUGGCACCUCUUUAGUUUCACUGUGAGAGCAAUAGUCAAUCAUUGGGGCAUCUAGUAGGAUAUGUAAACUGGCAGCAAUUUGAAAUAAAUGUUUAUAUACAUAUAGAUAUAUACAUACAUGCAUUGUACCUAUAGUAUAAUCAUAUAUUAAAUCCUGUGGUCUUUGGCAGAAACUUCUGUACAGCUCUAUUACAAAAUGAUAAAGUAUAUUGCAAAAUAAAAUGUGUAGACAUUAAAACUGGAA